This 107-nucleotide small nucleolar RNA is filed under the name Theobroma cacao (cacao). Its description in RNAcentral is "Plant small nucleolar RNA R71". It matches the Rfam family "Plant small nucleolar RNA R71". Rfam says of the family: R71 is a member of the C/D box family of snoRNAs containing the C (UGAUGA) and D (CUGA) box motifs. Multiple nearly identical copies of this snoRNA have been identified in Arabidopsis, and it is thought to function as a 2'-O-ribose methylation guide for 18S ribosomal RNA. The record is from Rfam by way of RNAcentral. Lineage: Eukaryota; Viridiplantae; Streptophyta; Magnoliopsida; Malvales; Malvaceae.
AGACCAUGAUGAGGACAAAGCCGAAAAAGUUCUUUGUAUCUUUCCCAAGCUUCGUACAAUGAUGCAGAAUCUAGUUGCAUGAAUGAUGUAAUGUCAUUCCUCAUUUU